Molecule: long non-coding RNA, 543 nt
Organism: Stegodyphus dumicola
Lineage: Eukaryota; Metazoa; Arthropoda; Arachnida; Araneae; Eresidae
Source: RefSeq, a predicted model, not a curated record
AGUUAUUGAGUCCGUGUUGCUACAGUUUGGUAAUCCGCGAUAGCUAUUUUAUGUGGGACAUCAAUCAAAUCAUACGAGUGCCAAAGAAUAUAUAAUGGGAGUUAUUAUAUUAUAUAACAUAAAUUCUUUGCGAGUACUUUUUCCUAGAUUAUUGUUUAUUUAGUCACUAUGAAUGGCAUGUUGGAAUCUUGCGUGGUGUUUCGCAAUUAUACGUAUUGCGCAAUAUGGAAUUCUCACCUGCUGUUAUAACCUGAACUAUUUUUUAAAAAAGGGGUAUUUUUGUAGUAUUUAAAUUACGCCUUAUAGCCUCAGAAACUGACUGCAAGCAAGUAUGAACUCAGUUGAAGAAGAACUGGUUUGCAAAGGUGACAAAGAAAAUGACUUUGAUACAAUCAUUGGGCACAUAGAAGACAUAAUUAUUGCGUUGCUUUAUUCCUGCGAUUUUGUGAAGUAAGGGAAAACGACAUUGCUCUCACUACUGAAGCUGAUCCUGAGUUGCUGUCAUCUCUUCUUGAUGUUCACGAUAAGUAUGUUUUCUUUAUU